UGAAGACAAUGCUGAGUAUGAGGAAGAAGAAGAAGAGGAAGAAGAAGAAGAU
This 52-nucleotide small RNA is filed under the name Arabidopsis thaliana (thale cress). Its description in RNAcentral is "ATSL013050". The record is from RNAcentral. Lineage: Eukaryota; Viridiplantae; Streptophyta; Magnoliopsida; Brassicales; Brassicaceae.